This 497-nucleotide ribosomal RNA is filed under the name uncultured bacterium. RNAcentral describes it as "partial 16S ribosomal RNA". It matches the Rfam family "Bacterial small subunit ribosomal RNA", at positions 28 to 507 of the family's 1533-position model. The record is from RNAcentral.
GAUGAACGCUGGCGGCGUGCCUAAUACAUGCAAGUCGAGCGAACGGACGAGAAGCUCGUUUCUUUGCUGUUAGCGGCGGACGGGCGAGUAACACGUGGAUAACCUACUUCUUUGUCUGGGAUGACUACGGGAAACCGGAGCUACUACUGGAUCAUAUUUUGAACCGCAUGGUUCAAAAGUGCUAGACGGUCUUGCUGUCACUUAUAGACGAUUCCGCGUUGCAUUAGCUAGUUGGUAAGGUAACGGCCUACCAAGGCAACGAUGCGUAGCCGACCUGAGAGGAUGAUCAGCCACACUGGAACUGAGACACGGUCCAGACUCCUACGGGAGGCAGCAGUAGGGAAUCUUCCACAAUGGGCGAAAGCCUGACGGAGCAACGCCGCGUGAGUGAUGAAGGUCUUCGGAUCGUAAAACUCUGUUAUUAGGAAAGAACAGAUGUAUAAGAAUCUGCGGACAUCUUGACGGUACCUAAUCAGAAAGCCACGGCUAACUACGUG